This 240-nucleotide unclassified non-coding RNA is filed under the name soil metagenome. RNAcentral describes it as "partial contains 5.8S ribosomal RNA, internal transcribed spacer 2, and large subunit ribosomal RNA". The record is from RNAcentral.
AACCUUAUGGACCUGCGGGCGUAUACCUGCGGAAGGAUCAUUACAGAGUUACUACUCCAAACCCAUUGUGAACCUUACCUAUGUUCUGUUGCCUCGGCGGCGCGGUCAGCGCCCCUCUGAAAAGAGGACGAUGCCCUCCCGCCGGCAGCACCAAACUCUUGAAUUUUACAGCGGAUUACAGUUCUGAUUUAAAAACAAAAAAAACAAGUUAAAACUUUCAACAAUGGAUCUCAGAUCGGA